AGUAGAUAAUACAAAACACUACGUAGUUUUAUUUGAGAUAGUUUUAAGAUAUGUUGCAAUAUGUCAUGUAUUGAUCACUAGUUUUUCUAUUUGAAGACAGCAUUUGAUCCUUGCUCGACUUCUUGGUCAGCGGAUUGACUUGGACAACAUAAAGGUUGAAAGCUUGUAUCCUGAAGAAAUGGGACCAAAUCUAAUGCAUGUUGAAGAUUUUUUGGUGAAUGGCCUUCCACUGCUUGAUAAAGGCAUCCAAGAGAGGGUUGAAAGGGCUUCUUCAAAUGGCAAUGUGCUCCGUUAUGUUUGCGUGAUUGAGGACUCAAGCAGAGCAACAGUCAUGUGGGUAGAUGAGCAAGAUGGGGAAGCAAUUGAGCUUGCCUUCA
Non-coding RNA from Camellia sinensis, 377 nucleotides. NCBI's taxonomy places the organism in Eukaryota, Viridiplantae, Streptophyta, Magnoliopsida, Ericales, Theaceae. The record is from RefSeq and is a predicted model, not a curated record.